GAUGAACGCUGGCGGCACGCCUAACACAUGCAAGUCGAACGGAGUUUAUGGGAGCUUGCUCCUAUAAACUUAGUGGCGGACGGGUGAGUAACACGUGAGCAACCUGCCUUUCAGAGAGGGAUAGCUUCUGGAAACGGAUGGUAAUACCUCAUAACAUACGGAUUCGGCAUCGUUUCUGUAUCAAAGAUUUAUCGCUGAAAGAUGGGCUCGCGUCUGAUUAGCUGGUUGGUGAGGUAACGGCCCACCAAGGCAACGAUCAGUAGCCGGACUGAGAGGUUGAACGGCCACAUUGGGACUGAGACACGGCCCAGACUCCUACGGGAGGCAGCAGUGGGGAAUAUUGCACAAUGGGCGCAAGCCUGAUGCAGCGAUGCCGCGUGAGGGAAGAAGGUUUUCGGAUUGUAAACCUCUGUCAUCGGGGACGAAAAUGACGGUACCCGAGAAGGAAGCUCCGGCUAACUACGUGCCAGCAGCCGCGGUAAUACGUAGGGAGCAAGCGUUAUCCGGAAUUACUGGGUGUAAAGGGAGUGUAGGCGGGACUGUAAGUCAGAUGUGAAAUAUGCCGGCUCAACUGGCAGACUGCAUUUGAAACUGCGGUUCUUGAGUGAAGUAGAGGUAAGCGGAAUUCCUAGUGUAGCGGUGAAAUGCGUAGAUAUUAGGAGGAACAUCAGUGGCGAAGGCGGCUUACUGGGCUUUAACUGACGCUGAGGCUCGAAAGCGUGGGGAGCAAACA
RNAcentral lists this ribosomal RNA (733 nucleotides) under uncultured bacterium. RNAcentral's name for it is "bacterial SSU rRNA". It matches the Rfam family "Bacterial small subunit ribosomal RNA", at positions 28 to 774 of the family's 1533-position model. The record is from RNAcentral.